UGGGGAAUUUUGGACAAUGGGCGCAAGCCUGAUCCAGCCAUGCCGCGUGCGGGAAGAAGGCCUUCGGGUUGUAAACCGCUUUUGUCAGGGAAGAAAUCUUCUGAGUUAAUACCUCGGGAGGAUGACGGUACCUGAAGAAUAAGCACCGGCUAACUACGUGCCAGCAGCCGCGGUAAUACGUAGGGUGCAAGCGUUAAUCGGAAUUACUGGGCGUAAAGCGUGCGCAGGCGGUUUUGUAAGACAGAGGUGAAAUCCCCGGGCUCAACCUGGGAACUGCCUUUGUGACUGCAAGGCUUGAGUGCGGCAGAGGGGGGAUGGAAUUCCGCGUGUAGCAGUGAAAUGCGUAGAUAUGCGGAGGAACACCGAUGGCGAAGGCAAUCCCCUGGGCCUGCACUGACGCUCAUGCACGAAAGCGUGGGGAGCAAACAGGAUUAGAUAGCCCUGGUAGUCCACGCCCUAAAACGAUGUCAACUGGUUGUUGGGAAGGUUCCUUCUCAGUAACGUAGCUAACGCGUGAAGUUGACCGCCUGGGGAGUACGGCCGCAAGGUU
RNAcentral lists this ribosomal RNA (550 nucleotides) under uncultured bacterium. RNAcentral describes it as "partial 16S ribosomal RNA". It matches the Rfam family "Bacterial small subunit ribosomal RNA", at positions 355 to 895 of the family's 1533-position model. The record is from RNAcentral.